RNAcentral lists this long non-coding RNA (402 nucleotides) under Sinocyclocheilus anshuiensis. RNAcentral's name for it is "lncRNA (ENSSANG00000036885.1)". The record is from RNAcentral. Lineage: Eukaryota; Metazoa; Chordata; Actinopteri; Cypriniformes; Cyprinidae.
AUAAAUGUGUCAUGCAUUUCCUCAUCCUGUGAUACUGCUCUGUCCAUUUCAGAUCAAAGUCUGGAGACCAAGAAGAUCCUCCUGACGGAGACGAUACCAGAACUGGGCCAGAUGGAGUACCAGCUACUGAAAUUCUUCAUCCUGCUCAUUAUCCUGCUUAUCCUGUCGUCGUGUUACCUGGCCUUUCGUGUCUGCAGCCUGGAGCAGCAGCUCUCUUUCCUCAGCAACAACCCUGCACUGACUCUCAGAGAGAGGUAACCACUGACGGUCACCACUGCACUUCAACAGGGAAGUCGGUCCAGCGCUGGCGCUCUCUCUGUCUCUGUGGCCACCUUGCAACUAUGCAAACAAACUCUGUUAUGUAUUUAUGCAAAGUCCAUCUCGGAUUGUGUUAACAAUGAG